CCUACGGGAGGCAGCAGUGAGGAAUAUUGGACAAUGGGCGCAAGCCUGAUCCAGCCAUGCCGCGUGCAGGAAGAAGCAUCUAUGGUGUGUAAACUGCUUUUGUACAGGAAGAAACACUCUCUCGUGAGGGAGCUUGACGGUACUGUAAGAAUAAGGACCGGCUAACUCCGUGCCAGCAGCCGCGGUAAUACGGAGGGUCCGAGCGUUAUCCGGAAUCAUUGGGUUUAAAGGGUCCGUAGGCGGUUUAAUAAGUCAGUGGUGAAAUCUGGUCGCUCAACGAUCAAACGGCCAUUGAUACUGUUAGACUUGAAUUAUAAGGAAGUAACUAGAAUAUGUAGUGUAGCGGUGAAAUGCUUAGAUAUUACAUGGAAUACCAAUUGCGAAGGCAGGUUACUACUUAUGGAUUGACGCUGAUGGACGAAAGCGUGGGGAGCGAACAGGAUUAGAUACCCUGGUAGUCCACGCCGUAAACGAUGGAUACUAGCUGUUCGGAGCAAUCUGAGUGGCUAAGCGAAAGUGAUAAGUAUCCCACCUGGGGAGUACGUUCGCAAGAAUGAAACUANAGAGUUAGUAGGACGUGAGAGAGCGACGACGACACGAGGGAGGAGGNG
This 611-nucleotide ribosomal RNA is filed under the name uncultured bacterium. RNAcentral's name for it is "bacterial SSU rRNA". It matches the Rfam family "Bacterial small subunit ribosomal RNA", at positions 338 to 953 of the family's 1533-position model. The record is from RNAcentral.